GGUGCUCGAGUGGCGAACGGGUGAGUAACACGUGAGUAACCUGCCCUUGACUUUGGGAUAACUUCAGGAAACUGGGGCUAAUACCGGAUAGGAGCUCCUGCUGCAUGGUGGGGGUUGGAAAGUUUCGGCGGUUGGGGAUGGACUCGCGGCUUAUCAGCUUGUUGGUGGGGUAGUGGCUUACCAAGGCCUUGACGGGUAGCCGGCCUGAGAGGGUGACCGGCCACAUUGGGACUGAGAUACGGCCCAG
RNAcentral lists this ribosomal RNA (247 nucleotides) under uncultured Actinomycetales bacterium. RNAcentral's name for it is "partial 16S ribosomal RNA". It matches the Rfam family "Bacterial small subunit ribosomal RNA", at positions 86 to 334 of the family's 1533-position model. The record is from RNAcentral. Lineage: Bacteria; Bacillati; Actinomycetota; Actinomycetes; Actinomycetales.